GUGUCAGCCGCCGCGGUAAUACAGGGGGUGCAAACGUUGCUCGGAAUUAUUGGGCGUAAAGCGCGCGUAGGCGGUGACUCAAGUCGGAUGUGAAAGCCCUUGGCUUAACCGAGGAAGUGCAUCCGAAACUGAGUCGCUAGAGUACGAUAGAGGGUCGCGGAAUUCCCGGUGUAGAGGUGAAAUUCGUAGAUAUCGGGAGGAACACCGGUGGCGAAGGCGGCGACCUGGGUCGAUACUGACGCUGAGGCGCGAAAGCGUGGGGAGCAAACAGGAUUAGAAACCCGCGUAGUCC
This 292-nucleotide ribosomal RNA is filed under the name uncultured bacterium. RNAcentral's name for it is "partial 16S ribosomal RNA". It matches the Rfam family "Bacterial small subunit ribosomal RNA", at positions 505 to 796 of the family's 1533-position model. The record is from RNAcentral.